Molecule: long non-coding RNA, 2091 nt
Filed under: Sus scrofa (pig)
Lineage: Eukaryota; Metazoa; Chordata; Mammalia; Artiodactyla; Suidae
Description: lncRNA (ENSSSCG00000058396.1, ENSSSCG00110015613.1)
Source: RNAcentral
UAAGUCGCACCCCUCCAACCUCCCAAGAUGGUGGAAAUUCUUAGUUCUCUUUUUUUCUCCUCUGACAUGGCUUUGGCAGGGAAUACCAACCAUCACUGGAACUGACUGUUCGUCCCGCCCUGAUGGAGCAUGAGCCCCAAAUGUUUAGAUUUCCACUUCCUCCGAGGGAGACUGGAAGGGCUCCUCAUUUUGAUAAUACAGCAGAUAGUCCUUGUGUCCAUAUGACUGUCAUUUAAGGACGUCUGUGUCAGCAGGCCUUCAUUUUUCCUAUUUGUUAGCCUGGAAAACACCCUUAUUAGUAACAAACAUAGGUCUUACUAAGGCAGUGUGAAAAUUCCCUUCUAUGUUUCCCCAAAUGAAGCUAGAGAUCUGAUUUUUUUUUUAACAUGGUGGGAGGUUUCUGUAUUAUUAUUGUUUAAAAUCAAUUUCCUUUACUCCAUAUUCUUUUCCUGUUGUUUAUUUUAUCUGUCCUGCUCUCCCAGAGGGGCAGAAUUAAGGCCCCCAUUUGGUUUUUAUUAGUGUAAUCAGUUAAUAGCUGUUCUAUAAUGCUUUACUUAUUGUGUUAAUUUUCUGUACUUAUGUCCAGAGGCAGCUUCCUGGAGGACCACAUUUAAAAAAAUAGAAGAUCUAACUUAACUUCAUCUUUAAUGGGUCCAGCAACCAUUUAUAGUUUCAGCUAAGAUUACUGAAUACUAUUGAUUUAUAAGGUCAUUGAAAAUAUAUAUAAACUGCAGCUACUAUUUUAACUAUAUCAACGGGAAGCCUAAAAAGUCCUUUAGCCUGGUAAAGGUACAAACACUAACCCCAGGGUCUCAGUGGACAUUGGCUUAUCACUCCUCUUCUCUGGGUUUGUCUUGAAUGUUGGAGGUAUGAGUGUUCACUGUUCCCACGCAUACUGUGGCAGUCACUGCAAGCUAAACUCUGGGUCUCAGGGACCACUCUUCAAUUACUGUUGGGGGCUUUAAAGGGAAUGUACCUUACAUGGACUUUAGUAUUCGUGGCACCAGUUUUCAAAUUAAAACAGAGUUUCAAAGUAUAGCACAGGGACAAACUAACUUACCUGAAGGGAUACAAAGGAGCUAUUUGUGAUCUAUAAGAUAGGCUGGGUCCCUACGUUAAGUUUCAUUCUGAAUGAGAUGGAUGUAUUGAAGGAAAGAGCAUGGCGCAGGCAUCAGUACUGUGGGUUCUGGACCUCCCUCUAAUGUGAAUCAGCUCUUGAGACGUAUAGGGACCUCCUUUUCCUCUUCUGUAAAACAAAAGUUGGGAUGAGGGUAUUCUCAUUGUGGCUCUGUUGUAAUGAACCCGAGUAGGAUCCAUGAGGAUUCGGGUUCAAUCCCUGGCCUUGCCUUAAGGAUCUGGUGUUGCCAUGAGUUGUGGUGUAAGUCGCAGACACAGCUCAGACCCUGCAUUGCUGUGACUGUGGCUGUGGCUGUGGCGGCAGCUGCAGCUCCAGUUUGAACCUUAGCCUGGGAACCUCCAUAGGAACAUGUGUUUGAAUCCGGAUUAGAAUGCUUCUCUUUCACUGUUGUGUCUCUGGAGAUGGGCAGGCACUUGGCACAAAACCGGAGCCCAUCCAGGCUUUUCUAAUUAGUUUUUAUUGUGAAGCCUAAGUAAAAUUCUACUUGAGGAAGUGAUUCCCAUAGUACCAAGGCCAUGAGUGGCAGCCUGGAUGGAAGUCAUCAGGGUCAGCUGUUUAUUUGUCAAAUAAAAGCUUUGGAGAUGAAUCAGCGAAGUAGUUUCUAACUAAGAAAGUCAGAAUUGCCUGCCAUGUUAAGCAAAUGGGAGGGUUUGGAGGUGGCCCAACAUCCAGUGCUCCCAGCAGUCAGGGCACGUUACUCAGGAUCAGCUCCCUGAGAAGCCAUGCAGGAGCUUGCUCUGGGGAAGGGCUGAGAGGGAGAGGAUGGGGAGUUCCCAGUGUGGCUCAGAGGGUUAAGAACACGGCAUAGUGUCCAUGAGGAUGUGGUUUUGAUCCCUGGUCUCACUCAGUGGAUGAAGGAUCCUGCAUUGCUGCAAGCGUUGCUGUGCCUGUGGCGUAGGCUCCAAUUUGACACCUAGCGCAGGAACUUCCAUAUGCUGCAGAUGUGGCAUAAC